UAGACAUGACCUGCUUUUGUAACAAAAUCCAGAAACCAGUGGCAUUGGCUCAGUGACUGGCCAGCAGAGGGGCAAAUACAACAGAGCGGGCUGGACGUUGGGGGAUGUCCGUGUACUGCAGCAGAUGUUCACCACGCUGUCCUGGGGGAACCUGGGAGGCAGAGCACGUAUCCCCUGAGCCUGGAGGGCUGGGGAAGUAGGGGCAACUGUGAGAGCAGUCGUGCACCGGCCACUGCUUCAGGAAGAAAGACAUACACUCAGGCGGAUUUGGAGAAGCCAGCAGCGGACUCCAGUCUCCCAAAGUGAUGACUGAGCAAGUUCAGAGAGGUCUUGAACCUCACCAAAUAUUUUAAACAACAGACACACUCCCCAUGUGAUGUGUGGGCUUCUUUAUUACAAAUGUUAGCCUCUUCCAAAUAGAAGAAACUUCUACCCUCAAAAUAAGCUACUUCUAACUCAGACCCAAUCAUCAUGAAGGCUUACGUGAUGAGACAAAUCAAGCUAAGGACGUCAGCUGAUCUUGGAGACUGGACGGAUAUACAGGAUAAUUCAAGGAUGUAAAGGAGAUUUUGUUGGUAGAAACCACUGGGUGCAGUGAGCACACUGGUUGAUUAUAGAACCUGGGCAUAAGGCUGACCAGGGUUGUGUAUGUUAAACAGCUAUAGUUUUAAAGUUUGUGGGCCACAGUAGUUGGUUGGGGGUGAAGGGUGGAGUGAAAAAGAUUAAAAGGUAAAUCAAUGUUAUGUCUUCAGUGAUACCUACGGAGCACCUCUCCACCCUCCCACUCCUUUUGUCCUUAUCAGGACACCUUGUUUAUUUCCAUUAUCACACUUGUACACAUUUGAAUUAUACGUCUACUAGCUGAAUUAAUUCUUCAUUGGUUUACCCAGUGUAAUGUGCCUCAUAAGGUCAACUUUUUAGUUUUCUUAAUCCUUGUGUCUAACAGAGUGUUUAGCACUGAGUGAGGGAAUACAUGAAUACACACAUGCACAGAUGCACGAACUGUGCUCAACCAUGGGACGUUUAACACUUUGGACCCUCCCCUGUUGCUUCCUGCCUCGUCCCCUGAUACUGCACGAGUGGCUGUCCCAUAUCUGAGUUGUGUGACUGGGUCCCUGAUUUACACAGUGAGAUCCCCACCCUAUCAUGCUCCCCCCUGCAGAGACUUGCCUGCCAUUCCGACCUUUGCUCAACAGCUUCCCCGUCUCUGCUGAGACAGAUACCGUUGCCUUUCUCCCCUUAAUUUAGAUGCUUUGUUCUUAGUACUUGCGCCCCUCUUUUCAUUCCUCAUCUAUCUUCAAUUCACCAUCUAGUGUGUUGGCAACCCAUAUAACUGACCCUUGUUUCAUACCCAGGUCCAAGAUCACAUAUCUUAGCAGUGAAUGUGAAUCCAAGUGUGCCCAGAGGGCGCUGUCUCUGAGCCUUCUCGCUCCAAAUUUCCUUAGUAUUCAGGCUCAGCUCCUAAGCUAGUAUGGCUCAUAUCAAACACGCACCCUUUAUGAAAUAAAAAUAAAACUCUUUAAAAACAAGGAGAAAUGAUUUAAAAAAUAUUUUAGUGCUGAAAGAAAAAGUGAUGCCAAUAAUUAGCCACUAACCUCAGAGAAGGGCUUGGGGAGGCUAGGAAUUGUGUGUGUAUUCCCGAUAUCACACCCAGUCCCCAACACCGUGCUAUGCAUGACAAGUGCUCAAUAAAUAUUUCCCUAUGGGUUGUUCA
Long non-coding RNA from Artibeus jamaicensis (Jamaican fruit-eating bat), 1714 nucleotides. RefSeq lists it as uncharacterized. The record is from RefSeq and is a predicted model, not a curated record. NCBI's taxonomy places the organism in Eukaryota, Metazoa, Chordata, Mammalia, Chiroptera, Phyllostomidae. The transcript is spliced from 2 exons.